RNAcentral lists this ribosomal RNA (252 nucleotides) under uncultured prokaryote. Its description in RNAcentral is "partial 16S ribosomal RNA". It matches the Rfam family "Bacterial small subunit ribosomal RNA", at positions 524 to 776 of the family's 1533-position model. The record is from RNAcentral.
UACGGAGGGUGCAAGCGUUGUUCGGAAUUAUUGGGCGUAAAGGGAGCGUAGGCGGGAGUGCAAGUCAAGUGUCAAAUCUAUCGGCUCAACCGGUAGCCGCGCUUGAAACUGCAUUUCUUGAGUGAAGUAGAGGCAGACGGAAUUCCUAGUGUAGCGGUGAAAUGCGUAGAUAUUAGGAGGAACACCAGUGGCGAAGGCGGUCUGCUGGGCUUUAACUGACGCUGAGGCUCGAAAGCAUGGGUAGCGAACAGG